RNAcentral lists this transfer RNA (64 nucleotides) under Lygodactylus miops. RNAcentral describes it as "tRNA-Trp". The record is from RNAcentral. Lineage: Eukaryota; Metazoa; Chordata; Lepidosauria; Squamata; Gekkonidae.
AAUUUAGGCUAUAUAAACCAGAGACCUUCAAAGCCUCAACAAGGGACAACAACCCUAAUUUCUG